RNAcentral lists this ribosomal RNA (641 nucleotides) under Bacillus thuringiensis. RNAcentral describes it as "partial 23S ribosomal RNA". It matches the Rfam family "Bacterial large subunit ribosomal RNA", at positions 2286 to 2925 of the family's 2925-position model. The record is from RNAcentral. Lineage: Bacteria; Bacillati; Bacillota; Bacilli; Caryophanales; Bacillaceae.
CCUCCCAAAGCGUAACGGAGGAGCACGAAGGUUAGCUAAUCCUGGUCGGACAUCAGGAGGUUAGUGCAAUGGCAUAAGCUAGCUUGACUGCGAGCGUGACGGCGCGAGCAGGUGCGAAAGCAGGUCAUAGUGAUCCGGUGGUUCUGAAUGGAAGGGCCAUCGCUCAACGGAUAAAAGGUACUCCGGGGAUAACAGGCUGAUACCGCCCAAGAGUUCAUAUCGACGGCGGUGUUUGGCACCUCGAUGUCGGCUCAUCACAUCCUGGGGCUGAAGUAGGUCCCAAGGGUAUGGCUGUUCGCCAUUUAAAGUGGUACGCGAGCUGGGUUUAGAACGUCGUGAGACAGUUCGGUCCCUAUCUGCCGUGGGCGCUGGAGAAUUGAGGGGGGCUGCUCCUAGUACGAGAGGACCGGAGUGGACGCAUCACUGGUGUUCGGGUUGUCAUGCCAAUGGCACUGCCCGGUAGCUAAAUGCGGAAGAGAUAAGUGCUGAAAGCAUCUAAGCACGAAACUUGCCCCGAGAUGAGUUCUCCCUGAGACUUUAAGUCUCCUGAAGGAACGUUAAAGACGAUGACGUUGAUAGGCCGGGUGUGUAAGCGCAGCGAUGCGUUGAGCUAACCGGUACUAAUGAACCGUGAGGCUUAA